GAAGUAACACUGCCAGUGCCGGUCCCAAGCCCGGAUGUAAAAAGGUGGAGGGUUUA
RNAcentral lists this non-coding RNA (56 nucleotides) under Sorghum bicolor (sorghum). Lineage: Eukaryota; Viridiplantae; Streptophyta; Magnoliopsida; Poales; Poaceae. The record is from RNAcentral.